ACGGGGUGCAGCAGGCGCGAAACCUUUACACUGCACGCAAGUGCGAUAAGGGGACCCCAAGUGCGAGGGCAUAUAGUCCUCGCUUUUCUCGACUGUAAGGCGGUCGNGGAAUAAGANCUGGGCAAGACCGGUGCCAGCCGCCGCGGUAAUACCGGCAGCUCAAGUGAUGACCGAUAUUAUUGGGCCUAAAGCGUCCGUAGCCGGCCACGAAGGUUCAUCGGGAAAUCCGCCAGCUCAACUGGCGGGCGUCCGGUGAAAACCACGUGGCUUGGGACCGGAAGGCUCGAGGGGUACGUCCGGGGUAGGAGUGAAAUCCCGUAAUCCUGGACGGACCACCGAUGCCGAAAGCACCUCGAGAAGACGGAUCCNACGGUGAGGGACGAAAGCUAGGGUCUCGAACCGGAUUAGAUACCCGGGUAGUCCUAGCUGUAAACGAUGCUCGCUAGGUGUGACACAGGCUACGAGCCUGUGUUGUGCCGUAGGGAAGCCGAGAGGAGAGCCGCCUGGGAAGA
This 512-nucleotide ribosomal RNA is filed under the name Haloferax prahovense. RNAcentral describes it as "bacterial SSU rRNA". It matches the Rfam family "Archaeal small subunit ribosomal RNA", at positions 325 to 836 of the family's 1478-position model. Lineage: Archaea; Methanobacteriati; Methanobacteriota; Halobacteria; Halobacteriales; Haloferacaceae. The record is from RNAcentral.